AUACGGAGGGCGCGAACGUUGCUCGGAAUCAUUGGGCGUAAAGCGCACGUAGGCGGCCUGAUAAGUCGGAUGUGAAAGCCCACGGCUCAACCGUGGAAGUGCAUUCGAGACUGUCAGGCUUGAGUAUGGGAGAGGGUUGCGGAAUUCCCGGUGUAGAGGUGAAAUUCGUAGAUAUCGGGAGGAACACCAGCGGCGAAGGCGGCAGCCUGGACCAAUACUGACGCUGAGGUGCGAAAGCGUGGGGAGCAAACAGGAUUAGAAACCCUAGUAGUCC
Molecule: ribosomal RNA, 274 nt
Filed under: uncultured bacterium
Lineage: Bacteria
Description: partial 16S ribosomal RNA
Rfam family: Bacterial small subunit ribosomal RNA
Source: RNAcentral